GACGAACGCUGGCGGCGUGCUUAACACAUGCAAGUCGAACGGCAGCGCGGGCUCCGGCCUGGCGGCGAGUGGCGGACGGGUGAGUAAUGCAUCGGAACGUGCCCAGGAGUGGGGGGAUAACGUAGCGAAAGUUACGCUAAUACCGCAUACGUACUGAGGUAGAAAGCGGGGGAUCGAAAGACCUCGCGCUCAUGGAGCGGCCGAUGUCGGAUUAGCUAGUUGGUGAGGUAAAAGCUCACCAAGGCGACGAUCCGUAGCUGGUCUGAGAGGACGACCAGCCACACUGGGACUGAGACACGGCCCAGACUCCUACGGGAGUCAGCAGUGGGGAAUCUUGGACAAUGGGGGAAACCCUGAUCCAGCAAUGCCGCGUGUGGGAUGAAGGCCCUCGGGUUGUAAACCACUUUUGGCAGGAAAGAAAUCGCCUGUGCUAAUACCAUGGGCGGAUGACGGUACCUGCAGAAUAAGCACCGGCUAACUACGUGCCAGCCGCCGCUGUAA
This 501-nucleotide ribosomal RNA is filed under the name uncultured bacterium. Its description in RNAcentral is "partial 16S ribosomal RNA". It matches the Rfam family "Bacterial small subunit ribosomal RNA", at positions 28 to 523 of the family's 1533-position model. The record is from RNAcentral.